RNAcentral lists this long non-coding RNA (453 nucleotides) under Homo sapiens (human). RNAcentral describes it as "non-protein coding lnc-GDF6-4:2". Lineage: Eukaryota; Metazoa; Chordata; Mammalia; Primates; Hominidae. The record is from RNAcentral.
AUGCAUCAUGAUUUCUGUUCAGUGGAUGGUAAAGUUUAUCUAGGUUAUCUUGGAAAAAUGGCAACAAAACUUAAUUGGAAUGGGCUUUCGCUACUAAGGACCACUCUGAAGUGUGUAGGUUGCUAGAAAUCCUCCCGACUUAGCUUUUUUUGAAUUUGAACCCAAGAUGCGGCUGAAGCUGUAUGAGAGCUAGAUGGAAGAUCGCUGUGUAGCUGCCCUGUGAGUAGAAAUGAUGGCCCACCUAUCUCUUGGGACUGUCACCCUCGAGAUGAUCAUCGUAGGAGUCCUCCACCUCUCCGCAGAUGUCCAAGAAGGAAAAGCUUCUCUCACAGGGGGAGUAUCUUCUUUUCUAGAGAUAGGAGAAAACACAGAGAUCACUGUCUUGGGAGAGAAAUCACAAGCCGUCCCGAUCCUUCUCUAGGUCUCAGUCAGUUUAAGUUGAAUGAAAGGAAA